RNAcentral lists this ribosomal RNA (448 nucleotides) under uncultured bacterium. RNAcentral describes it as "bacterial SSU rRNA". It matches the Rfam family "Bacterial small subunit ribosomal RNA", at positions 355 to 796 of the family's 1533-position model. The record is from RNAcentral.
UGGGGAAUCUUGCGCAAUGGGCGAAAGCCUGACGCAGCGACGCCGCGUGAGCGAUGAAGGCCUUCGGGUUGUAAAGCUCUGUGGGGAGGGAAGAAUAAGGCUUGGCUAAUAUCCAAGUUGAUGACGGUACCUCCUUAGCAAGCACCGGCUAACUCUGUGCCAGCAGCCGCGGUAAGACAGAGGGUGCAAACGUUGUUCGGAAUUACUGGGCGUAAAGCGCGUGUAGGCGGCUAAGUAAGUCGGGCGUGAAAUCCCACGGCUCAACCGUGGAAGUGCACUCGAAACUGCAUAGCUAGAGUCCUGGAGAGGAAGGUGGAAUGCUUGGUGUAGAGGUGAAAUUCGUAGAUAUCAAGCGGAACACCGGUGGCGAAGGCGGCCUUCUGGACAGUGACUGACGCUGAGACGCGAAAGCGUGGGGAGCAAACAGGAUUAGAUACCCCCGUAGUCC